ACUAAGCGUACACGGUGGAUGCCCUGGCAGUCAGAGGCGAUGAAGGACGUGCUAAUCUGCGAAAAGCGUCGGUAAGGUGAUAUGAACCGUUACAGCCGGCGAUGUCCGAAUGGGGAAACCCAGUGCAAUUCGUUGCACUAUCGUUAACUGAAUACAUAGGUUAACGAGGCGAACCGGGGGAACUGAAACAUCUAAGUACCCCGAGGAAAAGAAAUCAACCGAGAUUCCCCCAGUAGCGGCGAGCGAACGGGGAGCAGCCCAGAGUCUGAAUCAGCUUGUGUGUUAGUGGAACGGUCUGGAAAGUCCGACGGUACAGGGUGAUAGUCCCGUACACCAAAAUGCACAGGCUGUGAACUCGAAGAGUAGGGCGGGACACGUGGUAUCCUGUCUGAAUAUGGGGGGACCAUCCUCCAAGGCUAAAUACUCCUGACUGACCGAUAGUGAACCAGUACCGUGAGGGAAAGGCGAAAAGAACCCCGGCGAGGGGAGUGAAAAAGAACCUGAAACCGUGUACGUACAAGCAGUGGGAGCACCUUCGGGUGUGACUGCGUACCUUUUGUAUAAUGGGUCAGCGACUUAUAUUCUGUAGCAAGGUUAACCGUAUAGGGGAGCCGCAGGGAAACCGAGUCUUAACUGGGCGUUAAGUUGCAGGGUAUAGACCCGAAACCCGGUGAUCUAGCCAUGGGCAGGUUGAAGGUUGGGUAACACUAACUGGAGGACCGAACCGACUAAUGUUGAAAAAUUAGCGGAUGACUUGUGGCUGGGGGUGAAAGGCCAAUCAAACCGGGAGAUAGCUGGUUCUCCCCGAAAGCUAUUUAGGUAGCGCCUCGUGAAUUCAUCUUCGGGGGUAGAGCACUGUUUCGGCUAGGGGGUCAUCCCGACUUACCAACCCGAUGCAAACUACGAAUACCGAAGAAUGUUAUCACGGGAGACACACGGCGGGUGCUAACGUCCGUCGUGAAGAGGGAAACAACCCAGACCGCCAGCUAAGGUCCCAAAGUCAUGGUUAAGUGGGAAACGAUGUGGGAAGGCACAGACAGCCAGGAUGUUGGCUUAGAAGCAGCCAUCAUUUAAAGAAAGCGUAAUAGCUCACUGGUCGAGUCGGCCUGCGCGGAAGAUGUAACGGGGCUAAACCAUGCACCGAAGCUGCGGCAGCGACACUAUGUGUUGUUGGGUAGGGGAGCGUUCUGUAAGCCUGCGAAGGUGUGCUGUGAGGCAUGCUGGAGGUAUCAGAAGUGCGAAUGCUGACAUAAGUAACGAUAAAGCGGGUGAAAAGCCCGCUCGCCGGAAGACCAAGGGUUCCUGUCCAACGUUAAUCGGGGCAGGGUGAGUCGACCCCUAAGGCGAGGCCGAAAGGCGUAGUCGAUGGGAAACAGGUUAAUAUUCCUGUACUUGGUGUUACUGCGAAGGGGGGACGGAGAAGGCUAUGUUAGCCGGGCGACGGUUGUCCCGGUUUAAGCAUGUAGGCUGGUUGUCCAGGCAAAUCCGGAUAAUCAAGGCUGAGGUGUGAUGACGAGGCACUACGGUGCUGAAGUAACAAAUGCCCUGCUUCCAGGAAAAGCCUCUAAGCAUCAGGUAACAUCAAAUCGUACCCCAAACCGACACAGGUGGUCAGGUAGAGAAUACCAAGGCGCUUGAGAGAACUCGGGUGAAGGAACUAGGCAAAAUGGUGCCGUAACUUCGGGAGAAGGCACGCUGGUGUGUAGGUGAAGUCCCUGCGGAUGGAGCUGAGACCAGUCGAAGAUACCAGCUGGCUGCAACUGUUUAUUAAAAACACAGCACUGUGCAAACACGAAAGUGGACGUAUACGGUGUGACGCCUGCCCGGUGCCGGAAGGUUAAUUGAUGGGGUUAUCCGUAAGGAGAAGCUCUUGAUCGAAGCCCCGGUAAACGGCGGCCGUAACUAUAACGGUCCUAAGGUAGCGAAAUUCCUUGUCGGGUAAGUUCCGACCUGCACGAAUGGCGUAAUGAUGGCCAGGCUGUCUCCACCCGAGACUCAGUGAAAUUGAACUCGCUGUGAAGAUGCAGUGUACCCGCGGCAAGACGGAAAGACCCCGUGAACCUUUACUAUAGCUUGACACUGAACAUUGAGCCUUGAUGUGUAGGAUAGGUGGGAGGCUUUGAAGCGUGGACGCCAGUCUGCGUGGAGCCAACCUUGAAAUACCACCCUUUAAUGUUUGAUGUUCUAACGUUGGCCCCUUACCGGGGUUGCGGACAGUGUCUGGUGGGUAGUUUGACUGGGGCGGUCUCCUCCCAAAGCGUAACGGAGGAGCACGAAGGUUAGCUAAUCCUGGUCGGACAUCAGGAGGUUAGUGCAAUGGCAUAAGCUAGCUUGACUGCGAGCGUGACGGCGCGAGCAGGUGCGAAAGCAGGUCAUAGUGAUCCGGUGGUUCUGAAUGGAAGGGCCAUCGCUCAACGGAUAAAAGGUACUCCGGGGAUAACAGGCUGAUACCGCCCAAGAGUUCAUAUCGACGGCGGUGUUUGGCACCUCGAUGUCGGCUCAUCACAUCCUGGGGCUGAAGUAGGUCCCAAGGGUAUGGCUGUUCGCCAUUUAAAGUGGUACGCGAGCUGGGUUUAGAACGUCGUGAGACAGUUCGGUCCCUAUCUGCCGUGGGCGCUGGAGAAUUGAGGGGGGCUGCUCCUAGUACGAGAGGACCGGAGUGGACGCAUCACUGGUGUUCGGGUUGUCAUGCCAAUGGCACUGCCCGGUAGCUAAAUGCGGAAGAGAUAAGUGCUGAAAGCAUCUAAGCACGAAACUUGCCCCGAGAUGAGUUCUCCCUGAGACUUUAAGUCUCCUGAAGGAACGUUAAAGACGAUGACGUUGAUAGGCCGGGUGUGUAAGCGCAGCGAUGCGUUGAGCUAACCGGUACUAAUGAACCGUGAGGCUUAACC
Molecule: ribosomal RNA, 2891 nt
Filed under: human gut metagenome
Description: bacterial LSU rRNA
Rfam family: Bacterial large subunit ribosomal RNA
Source: RNAcentral